UGCAGUCGACGAUGAGCCUUUCGGGGUGGAUUAGUGGCGAACGGGUGAGUAACACGUGGGCAAUCUGCCCUGCACUCUGGGACAAGCCCUGGAAACGGGGUCUAAUACCGGAUAUUACUCGUCAAGGCAUCUUGACGGGUGGAAAGCUCCGGCGGUGCAGGAUGAGCCCGCGGCCUAUCAGCUUGUUGGUGGGGUGAUGGCCUACCAAGGCGACGACGGGUAGCCGGCCUGAGAGGGCGACCGGCCACACUGGGACUGAGACACGGCCCAGACUCCUACGGGAGGCAGCAGUGGGGAAUAUUGCACAAUGGGCGAAAGCCUGAUGCAGCGACGCCGCGUGAGGGAUGACGGCCUUCGGGUUGUAAACCUCUUUCAGCAGGGAAGAAGCGCAAGUGACGGUACCUGCAGAAGAAGCACCGGCUAACUACGUGCCAGCAGCCGCGGUAAUACGUAGGGUGCGAGCGUUGUCCGGAAUUAUUGGGCGUAAAGAGCUCGUAGGCGGCUUGUCGCGUCGGAUGUGAAAGCCCGGGGCUUAACCCCGGGUCUGCAUUCGAUACGGGCAGGCUAGAGUUCGGUAGGGGAGAUCGGAAUUCCUGGUGUAGCGGUGAAAUGCGCAGAUAUCAGGAGGAACACCGGUGGCGAAGGCGGAUCUCUGGGCCGAUACUGACGCUGAGGAGCGAAAGCG
RNAcentral lists this ribosomal RNA (685 nucleotides) under Streptomyces sp. KLBMP 03720. RNAcentral describes it as "bacterial SSU rRNA". It matches the Rfam family "Bacterial small subunit ribosomal RNA", at positions 56 to 761 of the family's 1533-position model. The record is from RNAcentral. Lineage: Bacteria; Bacillati; Actinomycetota; Actinomycetes; Kitasatosporales; Streptomycetaceae.